UGUGUACUCCCUCCGUUCCAAAAUAUUUGACCUCCAUUUGUCCAAAAAAUGGAUGUACCUAUAUACUAAAACAUGUCUAGAUACAUCUAUAUUUUGACAAAUAGAAGGCAUGUAUUGUGGAACGGAGGGAGUAGAAU
Non-coding RNA from Triticum aestivum (bread wheat), 137 nucleotides. The record is from Rfam. Lineage: Eukaryota; Viridiplantae; Streptophyta; Magnoliopsida; Poales; Poaceae.